GACGAACGCUGGCGGCGUGCUUAACACAUGCAAGUCGAGCGGUAAGGCCCUUUCGGGGGUACGACGAGCGGCGAACGGGUGAGUAACACGUGGGUGACCUGCCUUUAGCUCUGGGAUAAGCCUGGGAAACCGGGUCUAAUACCGGAUAUGACUCCGCGGCGCAUGUUGUGGGGUGGAAAGCCUUGUGCGGCUGGAGAUGGGCCCGCGGCCUAUCAGCUUGUUGGUGGGGUGAUGGCCUACCAAGGCGACGACGGGUAGCCGGCCUGAGAGGGCGACCGGCCACACUGGGACUGAGACACGGCCCAGACUCCUACGGGAGGCAGCAGUGGGGAAUCUUGCGCAAUGGGCGAAAGCCUGACGCAGCGACGCCGCGUGA
Molecule: ribosomal RNA, 376 nt
Filed under: uncultured bacterium
Lineage: Bacteria
Description: bacterial SSU rRNA
Rfam family: Bacterial small subunit ribosomal RNA
Source: RNAcentral